GAUGAACGCUGGCGGCGUGCCUAAUACAUGCAAGUCGAGCGAACAGACGAGGAGCUUGCUCCUCUGACGUUAGCGGCGGACGGGUGAGUAACACGUGGAUAACCUACCUAUAAGACUGGGAUAACUUCGGGAAGCCGGAGCUAAUACCGGAUAAUAUAUUGAACCGCAUGGUUCAAUAGUGAAAGACGGUUUUGCUGUCACUUAUAGAUGGAUCCACGCCGCAUUAGCUAGUUGGUAAGGUAACGGCUUACCAAGGCAACGAUGCGUAGCCGACCUGAGAGGGUGAUCGGCCACACUGGAACUGAGACACGGUCCAGACUCCUACGGGAGGCAGCAGUAGGGAAUCUUCCGCAAUGGGCGAAAGCCUGACGGAGCAACGCCGCGUGAGUGAUGAAGGUCUUCGGAUCGUAAAACUCUGUUAUUAGGGAAGAACAAAUGUGUAAGUAACUAUGCACGUCUUGACGGUACCUAAUCAGAAAGCCACGGCUAACUACGUG
RNAcentral lists this ribosomal RNA (497 nucleotides) under uncultured bacterium. RNAcentral describes it as "partial 16S ribosomal RNA". It matches the Rfam family "Bacterial small subunit ribosomal RNA", at positions 28 to 507 of the family's 1533-position model. The record is from RNAcentral.